AAAUUAUUAACCCACCCCUGCGAUAGUAUAGCUACGCCUAGAAUACUCACUCCACACACGCCCACACCCAUCCGAAAAGGAAGAGUCCAUUGUCUCUCCACUACCCCAUUACCUCCACAAGAAACUCAUCAGACAAGUAAGGCUUAAAUUCUUAACGAGAAAGACCAGUUUCAAUUGGGAAACUGAUUUGUUGGAGAAAAUUCAAUAAAACAGACAAAGAUAAUGGUCGGAUUGUCUCCUGAUAUCCAGAAAUCAGCUUUCUCUUCGUACUUCAAAUCAAACUUGAGUUUUGCUGGUGUUUGCUGAGAGUAGGAUCGUUUGGUUUGAAUACAAGUUAUGACGGAAUUAGUUAUACUGGAUAAGUUAUGCUGGGAUUAGUUAUGAUGGGAUAAGUUAUGCCAAGAUGAAGAAUUUGAAGAUUGAAGAAUGUGUUGUUGAAGAAUUAUGGAGCCAACUGAAACGAAGAUUAUAUUUUUAUUGUUUUGUUGUUGGUGCAAAGUAGUUCUUUCUACCUAUGCUACAAUUUUAGUUUCUCAAUUUUUAGGAUUUGAUAGAUGUCGUCAUGUCGAAUAUGUUUUAUGAUAUUAUGUCGAACAUUCAUGUUUUUUAGAUUGUGUUGAACACACACAAAUAUAUAUAUGAGUUUUCCAGUA
Molecule: long non-coding RNA, 653 nt
Organism: Solanum dulcamara
Lineage: Eukaryota; Viridiplantae; Streptophyta; Magnoliopsida; Solanales; Solanaceae
Exons: 4
Source: RefSeq, a predicted model, not a curated record